RNAcentral lists this transfer RNA (72 nucleotides) under Candidatus Woesearchaeota archaeon. Its description in RNAcentral is "tRNA-Thr". It matches the Rfam family "tRNA". From Rfam's summary of the family: Transfer RNA (tRNA) molecules are approximately 80 nucleotides in length. The record is from RNAcentral. Lineage: Archaea; Nanobdellati; Candidatus Woesearchaeota.
GCCCUCGUAGCUUAGCAGUGGAGCGGCGGUUUCGUAAACCGCAGGUCGGGGGUGCAACUCCUCCCGAGGGCU